AUUGAACGCUGGCGGCAGGCCUAACACAUGCAAGUCGAGCGAGCGGCGGACGGGUGAGUAAUGUCUGGGAAACUGCGUGAUGGAGGGGGAUAACUACUGGAAACGCUAGCUAAUACCGCAUACGAUCAGAUAUGCCCAGAUGGGAUUAGCUAGUGGGUGGGGUAACGGCCCACCGAGGCGCCGAUCCCUAGCUGGUCUGAGAGGAUGACCAGCCACACUGGAACUGAGACACGGUCCAGACCCCUACGGGAGGCAGCAUUGGGGAAUAGUGCACAAUGAGCGCAAGCCUGAUGCAGCCAUGCCGCGGGUGUGAAGAAGGCCUUCGGGUUGUAAAGCACUUUCAGCGGGGAGGCGUUACCCGCAGAAGAAGCACCGGCUAACUCCGUGCCAGCAGCCGCGGUAAUUC
RNAcentral lists this ribosomal RNA (406 nucleotides) under uncultured bacterium. RNAcentral describes it as "partial 16S ribosomal RNA". It matches the Rfam family "Bacterial small subunit ribosomal RNA", at positions 29 to 526 of the family's 1533-position model. The record is from RNAcentral.